Molecule: long non-coding RNA, 287 nt
Organism: Etheostoma spectabile (orangethroat darter)
Lineage: Eukaryota; Metazoa; Chordata; Actinopteri; Perciformes; Percidae
Exons: 3
Source: RefSeq, a predicted model, not a curated record
GUUCCCGUCAGCUAUCCGCUCGUGCUCCAGGAACGUGAAGAACAGUUUAUAUCCAGCAAUCAUGUUACGUUAGAAGAAGCAAAAAGGGAACCGCAGUUCCAGCCUGUACACCUCACCCCCCUCCCCGCUGCUGUCCAGAGCGUGUCAACAGUCUGUUUCGUGCUGCACCAGCAGCUUAUUGUUCGGCCAUUUAGUUUUAUUUUUAAUAACCAAUGCUGUCCAUAUUACUCCAAAAUCCAAACCCCAAGUUCAUUGGGUACCCAGGAAACCAAGUAUUAAGUACUUUG